This 401-nucleotide transfer-messenger RNA is filed under the name Bacteroidaceae. RNAcentral describes it as "Prevotella sp015060535 Standard tmRNA". It matches the Rfam family "transfer-messenger RNA". From Rfam's summary of the family: Bacterial tmRNA, also known as 10Sa RNA or SsrA, is named for its dual tRNA and mRNA-like properties. Its role is to liberate the mRNA from a stalled ribosome. To accomplish this part of the tmRNA is used as a reading frame that ends in a translation stop signal. Lineage: Bacteria; Pseudomonadati; Bacteroidota; Bacteroidia; Bacteroidales. The record is from RNAcentral. RNAcentral also lists the same sequence under 1 other name.
GGGGGUGACUGGAUUUGACAGCGAGCCGAGAUGGUACGUAAGCAUGCGGAGUGACGGCUGUAUACUCCAUAAUCCAUUCGGUCGAACAAUUAAUUGGCGAAAACAAGUACGCUCUCGCUGCCUAAUCGAAGUACAGUAGAUUACUGGCUUUAUUCUCCUACCAGGUAGGAGAACGAGACAUCGCUCCAAAGAUCUGGUUCCGAAUCUGAGGGUCAAGCGGUGCAGGUUAAAUCGGAAAUAGUCUCUCGGGCGCUCCGAUUGGGAGAUGAAAAUUUAGGAGAUAAGGUCGUGAUUGGUGGCUUGGGUCUUGUCACGGCACGAAAAUGAAGGCCAAGAUAAGCAUGUAGAAAGCGUAUGGUUUCCUCGUGUGGACGAGGGUUCGAUUCCCUCCACUUCCACUU